CUGUGAAAAUAGAAAAAUUCUCAUGUAAAAUAACGUAAAACUGAAACAAGGACUAUGGUCGUGUCAUAUUCGAAAACUUGGAAAUAACGCCAAACAAUAUGACCAAAUUUCAUGUCCAACAAUGGUGAAACACGUAUGGGUGUUAAGUUGGUAGGAUCUUGGUAUGUGUCGUCAAGGUCGAGUGGAUGGUACAAUUACUUAGGAGAAGGGUAACUGAGGAGAAAUACUUGGGUACAGCACGACCGUCCAAUGGGGUGACGGUGGCUAGGCCAUACGAGGUGGGAGCUCCUCAUUGGACUGUCAUAUCUAACAUCGUCCUACCCAAGUAUGUCUCGUAACUGUGGGAUUAUGCAAGUCACAGGAAAUAGACUAAGAUUCUUCACAUGAAAAGAAGAGCAUGUCUGGCUAAAAAACUAUUUACGUGUCGAGUUUUUAAUAAAAGAUGAAUCCAAAUAAUAUUAAUGCGUAUAUUAAAGACAAAUUUUAAAUACCAUAACACCAUCAUAUUAUGAUAAACAACAAUAACACGAUCAAGGCUGUUUCUGGGCCUUUGAACAACAAACUUGCCACCUGUUUAUCAAUCUAUUCAAAUAAAUUCUAGUACUAAAUUUGAUAUCAUCAAAACAGCCUAAUUCGUUAGCAUCGACAGGUUAUUCAGAUUAUCCACAAGUUACUCAGUUAAUCAGCCUUGAGAGCAAAUUUAGCUCCAUGAAUAUCUACUCAAACCAUGUUUACAAAAUCUUCAAACUAGGUACUACUUCCCAACCCCAACACACGCGCAGAAUAAGAGAGAGAGAGAGAGGGAAGGAGGGAGGGAGAGAGACCUGAGUUCCAGUUGGAGAAAGCAAAGAGUCACGAUCUUUGGAGCCCAAAAGAGAUAACAAUCUGGAGGCAGAGAUUAGCCCAUCUGACUCGUCAUAAAAUACAUCGUCUUCAUUUGUUUUGUGGUUAUUCACUUCUACGUCUUUCACAUCUUCUUCCUUCAUACCUUUCCCUAAAUCUCUCUCUUUCUCUCUCUAUAUCUAUCCUACCCCUCUCUCUCUCUCUCUCUCUCUCUCUCUCUCUCUCUNACAUUAUUUUAUCAACCUAGUAAUUAAAAUGUCUAUGUUAAAAGUUGAAUCUUCUUGAUUAUUGAAUGAUGUGAAAUUUUAGCCCCUAUUUUAUAAUUAUUAUUGGGGGAAAAAUAGUCGUCAAUAGUAAUUUUUAGAAAUAGUGUGGUUAAAAAUUCGGGAAAAUUUUGUGUUUAUGUAUAAAAUAUUUUUAUGAAUAAUGUCCUGAGUACAUGACACUAUUCAUAUAGGGGUCUUACAUGCCCUUCACUAUGGAGGGCAGGUCGAUAGGUCCGACCUGCAUUUAAAAAAAAAUAAAUUCGAGCAGGCCUCGGCCCUUAUGUCUGUUCUGGCAGAGGUCACAGGCAUCCGCCCUGUAUGUGAAUCAUAACCCUAUUUUUAUUGUGCGAAUAUAUAAUUGAAAAUGAGUAUGUAAAAAAAAAAUUCAGAAUAUCCAAUGAAAUAGCAACUGAUAGUCCUUGCGUCCAGUUUCUUUUUAUUUGGCUUAUAGGGCCUUGCCUCAGCUGGACACCCCCAAAUAUGUAUAUGCUUCAAACUAGGCUUCUUGCCCGUCCAAAACUCAUAUAGGGUUCUAUCAAUGGCCUUAGUUAGAACUCUAUUGAGUAUAUAUGCUGCGAUCUUUAAUGCUUCACCCCAGAUAAGAACCGAAAAUAAUGGAUGUUAAACGAGGCUUAAUUUUAAUGUUUCCGCAAUCCAUAUGACUUACUACCUAACCCAACUAAGAUCAUCAAAUAAAGGUAGCUAAAGUAAUGCCUUCACUUCAAUUGAAUCGACGUGUAGAGCUGAACCUCUACGAUUGAGCACGAGGUGCCACGAUUUGUUGCAACCUAUUUUUUUAAAAGAAACAAUAAAUCUUUGUUUCACAAGACAUCGACCAUCGCCUCUUUUAAGAGAUCCUCAAUAUAAGAUCUUCCAUAUGAUUGGUUUGACAUUUUUGCAUUUGUCAAUCACUUUUUUAGAUGUCUAAGCUAAGUCAAAGGGUGGCUAAAUUUUAGAAUCAUCAAAUAAUAUCUUAACUUAGGACUGUAGAGGUGACGCCUAUGAAGUUGGUUUGUCGACUUUCAUGAUGAAGUUACGUGUCAUUCAUUCGCUAGUAACCACGACUUCUUCUCUACUAUAAAUCUCACACUUUGUAUCAUUUAUAGGCAUUGCAACUUUACUCUUUUGAUAAUAACUUUGUUUGGUAUUUUCUCUUAAACUUGGUGUCAUACACAUGUUGUUCACAUCUACCAUACAUCUUACAUCAAAAAUAUAAAUUUAUGGUCGGUUGACUUGAUCGCAAAAGUGCUUGUAGUCGCCUUCCUACGUUCAGAGAAGGUCACAUGCAUCUAACAAUUUGUCCAAAUAUGUAGGAGUCUUACACAUAAAUGUAGGUAGAGCCGUUAUCUAUUGAUAACGUUAUCCAAUCGAAAAUUGAGGUCAAUAAAUUCUAUACUAAAAUGUCAACUUUAUUAAAGGGAAAUUUUACUAUAAAUUACUCGAUUGAACUCUUUUAGCUCAUGUCUAAGAAUUUUUACCUUUAUGUAUUAAAUAAGAUUAAGUAAUUAUGAUUUAUUUAUCUUUUAUUUCUUUGAUUAUUGUGGUGGAAAAAAGAAAAGGAUAAACCAAAUUUGACCUCUUCAAAACUACCACCGCAUUGUUUAGGGUUUGUUUGAACCCUAUUUUUGAGAAAAUAAACUUAGUAAUAAUGAUAUUUAAGAAUGUGAGAUAAAAAAGUAGGGAAAAUUUUUAAGUUUACCUGUAAAAUUAUUUUAGUGGAAAAAUAUAUGAUCGAAAAUGAAUUCGAACAAAAUAUGAGAAUGAAUUUUUAAAGAAUGAGGCUCAAACAGAAUUAAGUGUAAAGUGGAAUUGAACGGUUUACUUUUAUUCUCGAGGGUUAAUACUUAAUAUGCAAUGACGAAUUUAGGACUCAAAUUUAGUACGACUUAAUUUAUUGCAUAAAAUUUUUCACAUAAGAUAUAAUAAUAUUAAAAAGGAAAAUGUAAAAAAGAACUUCAAAUUUCAGUAGGGAUAGGGAAGUUGGGAGCCUUACUAGAAGUGUACAUUGUUCCACUUGGUUCUGAUUUCAAGAGAAUUGAACUGAACCAAACCAUGAACCAAUGAAUUUUUUAUAAUGGAACCAAACCAUUUGAUCCUAAUUUGAUUCCAGAUAUAGUACUGAUUGAGAAAAAAAUAAGAGAACAUUUAAGGUAGAAGAACCAAAAGUUGAGGUUUCCAUUUCAGAAAUCUAUAAGCGUUGGUGGUUGAGGGCGAUGAUAGACGGUAGGCGGCAGUUGGUAUUUAAGUGAGAAUUGGUGUAUAAAUUGAAAAGAAGAGAAAAUGAGAAAUGAAUUAGAGUCUUAGUCUCCAAAAUGAAUUAGGGUCUCUAGUCUAUACAAUGGGAAAUAAGAAAUUGAAGGUAACACGGCGUUUUUAUCUUGAUUUUCAAUUGAAUUAAAAAAAUUUCAGCGCAAAUCAUGAUUUACUAAUUUGUAUCGACUAGAGACUAUAAUUUAAAAAUUGAGUUUGGUUCUUGGUUCUAGAACUAAAAUUGAACCAGAACCAAAUGGUUCUCAAUUCUAAGAACCAAAACCAUUAUUAUUAUUAUUAUUAUAUAUAUAUUUCUUUUCAAGUAGAACCGAACUUAAUCGCUUGGUUUGGUUUGGUUUGAUUUGAUCAUUUUGUUUACCUUUGAGGCUGACUGACGCCACCUCCGUCCGCCAUUGCUAACAAGUGUCCUUUGGACACCCUCCUUUCUAAUCUUCGCAUCUUUUGACCUAUUUUGUCUAAUUCGAAAGGACUACUGGGUCACAAUUUUAGGCCUCAAAUGCCAUUACUUAUUUCAUUUAUAAAAAACCUUUGUAGUUUAAGGUUAACCAGACGAGAACUUAACUAUGUUAUAUUUUAUGUUUUGAAUGAUUAAUUACUAUGUCGUGUUCAUAACAUCAUAUUGCAUCUUUUUUCGUUACUUUAUAUCAUAGUGCUUUUCUCCUAGUUUUAUGAGUAAAAUUGACAACUAUUCAUUGCUAUUUCAUUUAAAUCAUCUUUAACACUAUAUCAAAAUUUAAAGUAAGUUUUACAUUAUUUUACAUCAAUUCUUACAUCAAAUUAAAAAAUAUUUCCAAUCCCUUUAAUCAAAACUUACAUCAAAUGAACAUUGUUUAAUUGGUUUCUUAUUUUUUUCGAUUCUUAAUAAAUUAUUUAUUUGAAAAAAUUAUUUAUUUAUUUAUUUCACAACUACAUAAAGUACUAUAUGACUAAGUUAAAUUAACGAAAAUAUUGAAUUAUUAUUGAUUACUAAAUUAUUCACUUGUUUUAUAUAUUACAUUAAAUUGACAAAAAUAAUCGAUUAUAUUAUUAAUUUAUUACGUUAAAUUAACAAAAAUAAUUACUAAAUUAAAAAUCCUUAAUUGGUAUUGAUUGUAUUACUAAAAUUUAUUAUAAAUGCACAUGAUGAUGAUGAUGAUUUGUUUUAUUAAAAAUAUAUGGGUGGUUAUAUUGUCACAACAAUUUUUAUUUGAUACACUAUAUUUUAAUUGUUGUUAAGCUCCUCAAUCUUCACUCAUUGUAACAAUUAUUUUUUAAUUUUUUUUUGAAUUCUUAUUUUUAACCUUCUAUUAAUUUGUAUGUCUGUCCUUGAUGACGAUUCAUAUCAAAAUAAUUUAUUUUCAUGCUUUGAAAUAAGGGAAUAAUAUUUUUUAGCACUUUUUAUUUAUUUAUUUUAUAAAAAUAUGAUUGAAAAAUAAGUUGUUUUAUAUCAUUUCAACGGACUUUUGAAAAUAAAAUUGUUAUCAAUACAAAAUGUGUUGACUAUUGGAAAGAUUGAGAAUAUGAAUGAUACAAAAUGUGAUAUAAUGAGCAAAGAUUAAAAUUUUAAGUAAAAUUAAAAUGUGGUGCAAGAUAUAAAAAUUGUGAUGUGAAUAAAAUUACUCAAAAUAUAUAACAAAAAUAACAUAAAUACCCCUAACCAAUAUGUUUGAAAAAUGAAAGAGAAUGACAAAAUUGACUUUGCACCAUUUGGUGCAAAAUUGUGCAAGUGAAUAGUGUUGUACCACAUUUGGAGCAACACUAUUUACUUUACAACAUUUUACGAUAAAAUGAUGCAAAUCAUGAUGCUGUAUUGGAGACUUUAUGGUGCAAAAUGGUAUUUUGGGAUCUCCAUUGGAGAUGCCCUUAGUCACCAUCUCUUUCUCUUUGCACAAAUUUCAAAUCGUCUAAUAUAUUCGUCAAAUGAUACAAAGUUAACGAAUGUCCAACUUUUCACUCUUGAUUGGGUCAUUGAAAUCUAAUUUUUCAUUCACUUAAAAAUUGUAUUGGGCACUAACAACUCCGAACAAACCUUUCUCCAACAAAAUCUUUAUUCAUAAAUUUAAAUGUAAAUUAUUUAAGACAUUUUGCUUAUUGUACUAAGGUCUAAAUAUUGAGCAGUUAUCCUCGGUGUAAUUAAGUUGAAAAGAAAAGGCAACCCCUUUCCUUUUUCCUUCGUUAUUCUGUUUAGACCGUCCAAUCUUCCUUGUCAAGUUUGUUUCGGUUGUCUAAAUAACAUUCCAAUAUAAUUGCAUUGUAUUUAUUUUUGUAUGACCGACAGCUUGUUUGGGAGCGAUUUUUUACUCCAAAAAAUUGAUUUUUUGACCGUUAUUUCACUAUUUCAGCCAUCAUAUUUGAUUUUUUCUCUCACAGAUGAACUCCACUUUUCUCCUAAGGAUCAAAAAAUAAUUCUUAAAAUCACUCCCAAACAAACUCUGAAUAGCCAUAUUUAAUAAAAAAAUAAAUAAAUUAGAGGACACAAAACUUUGUAUUGGCAAAAAGUAAUUAGUUGGAAAAUUUUUCAAAUAAAAUGUCUAAUCAUAGGCAAAAAAGAGGGUAAAAGUCCAUUAAAUUUCGUAUCAAACGUAAUUUAUUUGUGGACGGAGGCGAAUGGUCGUGAGGGGCAAGGCAAGAAUCACAUCACAUGGAGAUGUAAUCUUGUGGUACCACCUGUAACUCUGUAACUAUUUCACACCAAACAGAACUGGCUUUUCUAUUGCAUUAUCUUGGUCUGCUUUAUGAUAAGCCCAAUUAUAGAUUGCCGCGUGUCAAUAGGUGUCGUGUUGCAAGAGAAAAUUAAAAGAGGAACGGCCAAGACUUUUCUUUGUUAGGCUUUUGAUGGGGACUUGGUGUCUGCCAAUGGAUGUCGUGGACGGCUUAGAUUUCUCCAGGUUAUUGUUGUCAUUGUGGGUGGGCCCGGUUGGUUCUUAUCGCAUUUAUGUUGCUCGAAAAUGUUGCAUUUGGAAUAUAGAACUCGAAGUUGGUGUUCAUAUUUUAAAGUAGUUGUUGGUACAGACUAGAGUAAAUUUCAUUUGCUUUCACUAAAAUUUUAUUGGAUCGUUAUAUUUUAAUUUUGAAUUUUACCAUAUCGUUACUCAUAGUAUUUGAAAUUGCUGAAUUUUUUAAAUUGAAUAUUGAUGAUCCCAAAUCUUGUCAAUCCCGAACUCGAUUCAUGAACCCCGAUCUUAAUACCCCCUAAAACUACCAAACCGAGGUCGGGCAUGUGAGGUCGGGUCUGUAUGUCAACUCGACAAUUCUUCUAUAUGAUCUAUGAGAACACUAAUCAUACUUUGACCACAACUCUUACCCUUUUUGACUCCUUCGACUCCAACAAUGAUUGAACACUUGGAAUGAAACACUAACUCCUUAUCCUACGAGGAUAAGGAUAACACAUGGGUGAGUCCUUCUAGGACCCUAUCGUCAAUACAUAACUUGGGCUCAUUCUUGAGGUAUGUUUUUCAUUAUCUCCAAUUUAUAACCUCACGCACUAAAUUCCCUAUCUGACUUAAGUAUCGGAGGGGCGACAAGUACAUACCUCGUUGCCUUUAUUUCAGGUAUUCAAAGAUCGUUCGUGUUCAUUCAAGCUCGAAGUUCGAUCAUCAAACUCGAGAUUAUUCAGGUACAAUUUUUUGGUAGCAUCAUUGACGUCGUCUGUGGGAAACGCUACCAAAAGCCAUGGUCAAUACACGUUCAGGUCUUCAUCCAGCAAGCUCAUCCGUCCCGGAUAACCUUCCUCCUCCUGGGGAACGUCAUGUCCCUCAAGAAGAAUCGUCGAAAAUGCCAGCACCUCCUCAAACUGUUGUUUCCGCCGGAGCUUUUGAGAAACUUCGCCAGCAGGUGGCUGCAUUUACCCAAUUGUUAAGCCAGAGAAAUUCGCACUCGUCGCAUACCCUAGCCCCCGAAGGUGGUUUUAUGGCUGACACUCGGGCUCGAGUCUGUCGUACAGCUCAUGAUGACAGCGGGCUUGGAACUUCAGGUGCAUCGCAAGUGGCUUCAAGUUCAAGGUUCGAUACAAUGGACUCCGCUGAACUUACUAGAAUUAUUCAAGAAAGGAUAGCAGCGGGUAUGCAACAAAAUACUCAGGCAGCAAUAGGGUUCACCCCCAAUACGCCAUUCACUCCGAAAGUCCUCUUGCAUCCCUUCCUCAACAGGUUCAAGUAUCAUCGGAUAAAGGAGUACGAUGGGACACCUGACCCUAUCAAUCAUCUCAUUGUGUACACGGAUAUCAUGAACUUACAAGUUGCACCUGAUGCAGUAAUGUGCAAGGCAUUCCCUCAGACCCUCACAAACGCAGCUAGAGAUUCACAUUAGAACCGAACUCUAUCGCCUCCUUCUCAGAUUUGGCCAAUAAGUUCUCCCCUCUCUUUACGAGCAGCGAGCGAAUCAGAAAGACAGCUGCAUCACUCAUGCAGAUGCGUCAAGGACUCAAUGAAACACUGCGCAGUUUCAUGACCAGGUUCAAUAAAGAAAGGUUUCAGAUCCCCGAUCUACAUAUCACCGCUGCAGUCUCAACUCUGACAUACGCCAUUAAGUGUGAAGCAUUCAAGAUGUCCUUGUCCAAGACCCCGCUAAAGUCAAUCACCGAGCUACUCACGCGAGCUGAGAAGUACAUCAAUAUGGAAGAAACCAUGGCCCCAAAAAGAGAAGUUUCCUCAUUAGGAGGCUGGAUCCGAAAAGGCCGCAUGAGUCCAGUCUGAGACAAGAUACACCUUGGGUCAAGCCAAGGCAGGACCCCUCCUCAACAUCUUUUACCCGUUUGAGCACCUCGAGGUCCAACAUUCUGAUGGAGAUCAAGGAUUCGAGGGAACUGAAAUGGCCUUCCCCCGAUACUCGUGACAAGAGUAAGUACUGUGAUUUCCAUAGAGAUCAUGGACAUAAAACGGAAGACUGUUUGGCCUUGAAGCGAGAGAUUGAAGCUCUUAUAAAAAGGGGAUUUUUGGGCUCUUACAUUAGCAGUGACAAGCGCCCGAGGAAUAAUCAGAACAGAGACAAAGGCCCAAAGGGUCGGGGAAACAAGCAAUCAAUUGCAUGUACUAUUAAUAUCAUUGUCGGAGGAACAACCACAGGGAGAGAUUCUAGCAGAGAGCGUAAACAAUAUGCCAGGCAGCCUCCAAUAAUCUCAAGAUCAGAUCUUGGUUGUACAGAGGAUAUCACUUUUGGAACGGAGGACUUGGAAGGCAUAGCGUUCCCUUAUGACGAUGCUCUGGUCAUAUCGGCCAUCAUCGUCAACUUUGAAGUCAAGAGAAUUCUUAUAGACAACGGAAGAAUAGCUAAUGUACUAUCUCAUGAAAACUUUGUUCAAAUGGGGAUCUCAUCGGAGCAGUUCAAGCCAGUCAAAACACCCCUCCAAGGAUUUAGAGGUGGGGUCAUCACCCCAGAAGGUAUCAUCGGGCUGCCUUUAACAUUGGGGGCAGAAGGUAAACAGGUGACGUAGAUAACCACCUUUGAAGUUGUCCGUACUCCAAUAGCCUACAACGCCAUAUUGGGAAGAUCAUUGCUCAAUAGAACUCGAGCUAUUGUCUUAACUUUUCACUUGGCAAUGAAAUUUCCUACAAGUAAUGGAAUUGGGGUAGUUCGAGGCAGCAAAACAGUGGCACGACAGUGUUAUAUGACUAGUGUCCGGAGAAUCAAGGGCAACGUCAUGCAAGUUACAGACCUCGAGCUCGAGCACGAGAUCCAUGAGAGACUUGCUCCAGUGGAGGGAUUGGAAGAGGUCGAGCUCAAGCCUGGAAAGAAAGUGAUAAUCGGAUGGGAGUUAGAUACAGUAGUCAUGCCUGAACUACUGAGUUCUCUCUCCCGCAACAUCGAUAUAUUCGCUUGGAAUGUUGAGGACAUGCUUGGAAUCGAACCAGAGGUUGCGGUGCACAAACUUAAUGUAAAUCCUGGGACAAGACUUGUAAAGCAAAGCAAAAGGCAAUUUGCACCAGAACGACGAAAAGUCAUAAAGGAGGAUAUUGCCAAACUUGUUAACGCACAGUUCAUUCGCGAAGUAUAAUAUCCCGAUUGGCUUGCUAACAUUAUUCUUGUCAAGAAAGCUAAUGGGAAGUGGCGAGUCUGAAUUGACUUCACAGAUUUGAAUAAAGCAUGUCCCAAAGACAGUUAUCCUUUACCUCGAAUUGGCAAUCUUGUGGAUAACACGUCGAGUCAUAUGUUGUAUAGUUUCUUGGAUGCUUUUUCGGGGUAUCACCAAAUACUCAUGGCGGAAGAAGAUCAAGAGAAGACCUUAUUCAUGGCAGACUCAGCCAUCUAUUGUUACAGGAUCAUGCCCUUUGGACUGAAGAAUGCUGGAGCAACGUAUCAAAGGUUGGUAAACAAGAUCUUCGUCGAGUUAAUCGAGAAAAUGGUCGAAGCAUAUGUGGAUGAUAUGGUGGUUAAGAACAAACAGGUGAAUGGCCAUGUCUCUGAUCUUGAAGAAGUGUUUGCCAAGUUACAAAGGUACAACAUGAAGCUCAACCAUGCAAAGUGUGCGUUUGGGGUGGCAUCUGGAAAGUUCUUGGGUUUUAUGAUCAGACACAGAGGAAUAGAGGCAAGUCCUGAUAAGAUCCAAGCCCUGAUAAGGAUGGAGGCCCCUAAAUGCAAAAGGGACAUUCAGAAGUUGACUAGUCGCGUAGUAGCACUGAAUAGGUUUGUUUCCCGGGCAGCUGACAAAUGUUUCACCUUUUUCAAACUACUUAGGGGAAAUCAAAGCUUUAACUGGAACGAGGAAGCAACUUAGCUUUUCAAGAGGUUAAGCAGACGUUAUCAACACCUCUAGUCCUUACUAAACCCGAACUCGAUGAAACGUUGCUAUUAUACUUGGUCGUUUCUCAUAAUGCAGUAAGCGGGGUCUUGGUGAAGGAGAAAGGAAGAGUUCAGCAGCCUAUCUAUUAUGUAAGUAAAGUACUCCUUGAUGCAGAGACACGAUACACACUUGUAAUA
RNAcentral lists this long non-coding RNA (10274 nucleotides) under Olea europaea (common olive). RNAcentral describes it as "long non-coding RNA (OEUR_LNC014249)". Lineage: Eukaryota; Viridiplantae; Streptophyta; Magnoliopsida; Lamiales; Oleaceae. The record is from RNAcentral.